Molecule: ribosomal RNA, 497 nt
Filed under: uncultured bacterium
Lineage: Bacteria
Description: partial 16S ribosomal RNA
Rfam family: Bacterial small subunit ribosomal RNA
Source: RNAcentral
GAUGAACGCUGGCGGCGUGCCUAACACAUGCAAGUCGAGCGAACAGACCAGGACCUGGCUCGUCUGGCGUUAUCAGCGGACGGGAGAUUAACUCGGGGAUAACCUACCUAUAAGACUGGGAUAACUACGGGAAACCGUGUCUACUACCGGAUAAUAUAUUGAACCUGAUUGGUCAAUAGUGAAAUACGGUUUUGCUGUCACUAAUAGAUGGAUCCGCGCCGCAUUAGAUAGUUGGUAAGGUAACGGCUUACCAAGGCAAGGAUGCGUAGCCGCCCUGAGAGGGUGAUUGGACACCUUGGCAGUGAGACUGGGCACAGACACCUACGGGAGGAAGCAGUAGGGAAUCUUACGCAAUGGGCGAAAGGCUGACAGAGCAACGCGGCGUGAGUCAUGAAGGUGUUAGGAUCGUAAAGCUCUGUUAUCCGGAAAGAACUAAUGUGUAAGUACCUAUGAAGGUAUUGACGGUACCUAAUGAAAAAGCCACGGCUAACUACGUG